AUUCCAUUCCAGGGGAGUCAAAGGUGCAGAGAACACUGUCAGGGGCUGGCUUGAGCAUGCUGGGGCAGCCACGCCAGACCCCACACAGCGCAGGCGCCCCAGCACGGCGGCGGGAAGGAUGAGAACGUCGUUCUCGGCCUGGAUUCAGGGAUGGCUUAGCUCCAUGAUGCCUCCUAAGAUAUCAUCAUUUAGGAAUCCAGUUGUUUGGAAAAUACCACAAAUAUGAUUUGAUCAAGAAGAUGUCAUACUUCUUAAGGAAAAGAGACAAAAGGAUACCCAAAAAAGGAAAAAUGACCAAUGGUGAAUACCUAUUAAUUCUGGGGGUAAUCCAGAUGUUUAUCACAUUAUUCACUAUCCUCUUCUGAAAGUUUUUAAAGAAAAGGCAACAACACAGUGUGGAAGAGGCCUGACCUGUGAGCCCAAAGACCUGGCUUCUAGCAUCUUCCUCUCCUUACCACCUGUGGGGUUUCACCUGAAUCAGGUCCUUCGGGAGGCCUCCUCAUUCCCAUCUCUGCAGAGAGUCUUUCUUCUCUCUGUGCUCCAUGGAUGUCCCCCCAUGACAGUUCUUGACCAAACUGGCCAAAGUUUGGGAACAGAGAUCCUGAACAGCUAGAAAAUGGCCUCAUAUGGUACUUUUGAAACAAAGAAGUCAAUGUUGUACUCACAGUUUAUGUGAUGCUAGAACGCAGAAUAUCAAAUCACUAUUGGCUGUCCUGCUAUAUAUGAUAUAUCAUUUCUGUCUCUUCAUCUCUUUAGUAAUGUUUCCUACUACCAAUGUAAUCAAAUUCAAUAAACUUGGCAUUUUUAGAACAUC
This is a long non-coding RNA of Canis lupus familiaris (dog), 814 nucleotides long. RefSeq lists it as uncharacterized. The record is from RefSeq and is a predicted model, not a curated record. Lineage: Eukaryota; Metazoa; Chordata; Mammalia; Carnivora; Canidae. The transcript is spliced from 2 exons.